This 460-nucleotide ribosomal RNA is filed under the name uncultured bacterium. RNAcentral's name for it is "partial 16S ribosomal RNA". It matches the Rfam family "Bacterial small subunit ribosomal RNA", at positions 338 to 795 of the family's 1533-position model. The record is from RNAcentral.
CCUACGGGUGGCAGCAGUGAGGAAUAUUGGUCAAUGGGCGCGAGCCUGAACCAGCCAAGUAGCGUGAAGGAUGACUGCCCUACGGGUUGUAAACUUCUUUUAUAAAGGAAUAAAGUGAGGCAAGUGUGCCUUUUUGUAUGUACUUUAUGAAUAAGGAUCGGCUAACGCCGUGCCAGCAGCCGCGGUAAUACGGAGUCUCCGAGCGUUGUCCGGAUUUAUUGGGUUUAAAGGGAGCGUAGAUGGGUUGUUAAGUCAGUUGUGAAAGUUUGCGGCUCAACCGUAAAGUUGAAAUUGAUACUGGCAGUCUUGAGUACAGUUGAGGUAGGCGGAAUUCGUGGUGUAGCAGUGAAAUGCUUAGAUAUCGCGCAGAACUCCGAUUGCGAAGGCAGGGUACCGGCGCCGGACUGACGCUGAGGCACGAAGGCGAGGGUAUCGAACAGGAUUAGAUACCCUGGUAGUC